CGGGCAGGUGGUCUGUUAAGUCGUUUGUGAAAAUCCGGGGCUCAACCCCGCGAAAUGCAAGCGAUACUGGCAGACUAGAGAUCGGUAGAGGCUAGCGGAAUUCCUGGUGUAGCGGUGGAAUGCGUAGAUAUCAGGAAGAACACCCGUGGCGAAGGCGGCUAGCUGGGCCGAGUCUGACACUCAUCCGCGAAAGCGUGGGGAGCAAACAGGAUUAGAUACCCUGGUAGUCC
This 230-nucleotide ribosomal RNA is filed under the name uncultured bacterium. Its description in RNAcentral is "partial 16S ribosomal RNA". It matches the Rfam family "Bacterial small subunit ribosomal RNA", at positions 568 to 796 of the family's 1533-position model. The record is from RNAcentral.